AGUGAACGCUGGCAGUAGGCCUAACACAUGCAAGUCGAACGGCAGCACAGGAGAGCUUGCUCUCUGGGUGGCGAGUGGCGGACGGGUGAGGAAUACAUCGGAAUCUACUCUGUCGUGGGGGAUAACGUAGGGAAACUUACGCUAAUACCGCAUACGACCUACGGGUGAAAGCAGGGGAUCUUCGGACCUUGACCGAUUGAAUGAGCCGAUGUCGGAUUAGCUAGUUGGCGGGGUAAAGGCCCAACAAGGCGACGAUCCGUAGCUGGUCUGCGAGGAUGAUCAGCCACACUGGAACUGAGACACGGUCCAGACUCCUACGGGAGGCAGCAGUGGGGAAUAUUGGACAAUGGGCGCAAGCCUGAUCCAGCCAUACCGCGUGGGUGAAGAAGGCCUUCGGGUUGUAAAGCCCUUUUGUUGGGAAAGAAAUCCAGCUGGCUAAUACCCGGUUGGGAUGACGGUACCCAAAGAAUAAGCACCGGCUAACUUCGUGCCAGCCGCCGCGGUAA
This 506-nucleotide ribosomal RNA is filed under the name uncultured bacterium. Its description in RNAcentral is "partial 16S ribosomal RNA". It matches the Rfam family "Bacterial small subunit ribosomal RNA", at positions 29 to 523 of the family's 1533-position model. The record is from RNAcentral.